Molecule: long non-coding RNA, 4457 nt
Filed under: Ananas comosus (pineapple)
Lineage: Eukaryota; Viridiplantae; Streptophyta; Magnoliopsida; Poales; Bromeliaceae
Description: long non-coding RNA (ACOM_LNC035474)
Source: RNAcentral
GUAGCAAACGGGCUCCGUUGCCACCCAUUUGUUUUCAAUGAUGGAGCCCUCAAAUCGACGAUCGGCACCGUUGAACAUGAUCUAUAUCAUUUGAAGUAUCUAGAAAUUAAAUUUCAAAUAUUUUCGAUAUCAUUGACCUAAUGAUCAAAGGGUUUCAAAAUUUGUAAUUUUAAUGGUUGAUGUGAGGUGUUUUCUCGUUUAACGGUAUAAAGCUAUCCAAAUCAAUUGAAUUUUGGUUAGAAAAUUUUUUAAACUAUUUAGAACAAGAUCUACACUCUCGAUCUUGAUUACAAAAUUUUUAUCAUCACUUUUUAGAGGAUAUUUAUUUUCAGCCGUUCAUUUUUACGCCCACUUGAUGAACGAGAGAACAACAUCGUAAAAACAUGAAAUUUGAUUUCUGGAUACUUCAAGUGGUAUAGAUCAUUUUCAACGGUGCCAAUCAUCGAUUUGGAGGCUCCAUCAUCGAAAACAAAUGGGUGGCAACGGAGACCGUUUGCUACCGAUAGUAUUCCAGCUCAACUCUAAAUAUAUAUAUAUAGAGUUGGACUGGGCUACUAUUAGUAGCAAAAUUCCAUUGUUACUACUAGUUUUUUAGCCUUUGGAUCAACUCUUUCAAUAUUUCUAACCAUUGGAUUAAAUACUAUAACCCAGUGGCGACCGCUCAAUCCUAGGGGGACCACUCAACUCUAACCGACUAAUAUCAUCCCGACCCUACAAUUUUUCAUCCAAGGGUUAAAAACUUGAUAGCAAAAAGAGCGUUUUACUAUUAAUAGUAUUCCAGCCUAAUUAUAUAUAUAUAUAUAGAGUCUGACUAGGAUACUAUCGAUAGCACCAAGGAGUUGGUGUUAUCGAGUUUUCCAUCGUUAGAUUUAACCCUUUGAUUAUUUUUACCCAUUAGAUUAUACUAUUCAACUAACCACCCACUCAACCCUAGAGGGCCCACAUCAUGCUAACCGCACAUUUCUCAAUCUAAGGGCUAAAAAACCAAUAGCACCAAUAGAUUGGUGCCAUUGAUAGUAUUUCAGCUUAUAUAUAUAUAUAUAUAUAUAUAUAUAUAUANUAGACGAUUGCGGUAAGGGCAUCGCGUCCUAGGUAGAGACCGCCCGAGACAUUUAUCUAUUUUAGUUGCAUACCCCUUUUGUUAUAUGUCAUCUUUUGUACUUGAUGAUUUAGUUGUUAAAGAAAAGAAUAUGUAUGUUGUGAAAGAUCUUUACAUUUAAAUGCAAGAAUGAUAUUUUGAAAUCCUAUGAUGUAAAAGAAAAGAAAUGAUGAAAAAUGUAAUCGAUUCCUUAAGCGUAGUUGUUUACUUUCACUCUUGGCUAUUGCUUGCCCUCAUGCAAGCCAUUGUGUAUACUUUCGCUUAUGCAAUUUCUAUACUCUAUCUGUACUUGUUGUUGAGCCUUGGGCGGACAGGGGGAGGCUCUGUCCGUUCGGCGUCUGUCUCAUGCUCUCGAACCGGCCAAAGAGGAUCGGGCUCGGGGCGUGACAACUAUCGAUAGUACCAAGGAUUUGGUGCUAUCGAGUUUUCCAUCGUUAGAUUGAACCCUUUUAUUAUUUUUACCCGUUAGAUUAUACUAUUCAACUAACCACCUACUCAACCCUAGGGGGCCUACAUCAUCCUAACCGCAUAUUUCUCAAUCCAAGGACUAAAAAACCAAUAGCACCAAUAGAUUGGUGCUAUUGAUAGUAUUCCAGCCUAAUUAUAUAUAUAUAUAUAUAUAUAGAGCUAGACUGGUAUACUACCGGUAGCACGGAGGCCUCCGUGCUAUCAAGUUGUUUUCAAUGAUGCGGCUUCCAAAUCGACGAUCGGCUCCGUUAAACUUGAUCUACACUAUUGAAAGCAUUUAGAGACUAAAUUUCAUAAUUUUUCGGCAUCAUUUACGUAUCAAACGAGUAGUCUAAAAAUGAACGGCUGAAAAUAAAAAUCUUAUAAAAAAUGAUGAUAAAAGACUUGAAUUUAAAAUCAGAGGUGCUGAUCUUACUCUAAAUAGUGAAAAGAAUUUUCUAUAAAAUUUUCAUCAGAUUUGGAUAUUUCUACACCGUUAAACUUGUAACCGGCUCACCACGGCCGUUAAAAUUAUUGAUUUUGAGCCUCUUCGAUCACUAGGCAAAUGAUAUCGAAAAAUCGCAAAAUUUAUUUUCUAGGUACUUCAAAUACUCUAGAUCAACUCUAACAGAGCCGAUCGUCGAUUCGAAAGUCCGAACAUCGAAAACGGCUUGGAAGCACGGAGGCCUCCGUGCUUCCAUAAGCAUACCAGCACAACUAUAUAUAUAUAUAUAUAUAUAUAUAUAUGAGUAGGACUGCUAUGCUCUCAGGAGCACGGAGGCCGCACGGAGGCCUCCGUGCUCCUGAGCCGUUUUCGAUGAUGGAAUUUUCGAAUCGACGAUCGGCUCCGUUAGAUUUGAUCUAGCGUAUUUGAAGUUUCUAGAAAAUAAUUUUUGCGAUUUUUCAAUAUCAUUUAACUAACAAUCGAAAGGUAUCAAAAUCAAUAAUUUUUAACGGCUGAAAAUAAAAAUCUUAUAAAAAGUGGUGAUAUAGCACUAAAAUUUUCAAUCAGAAAUAUUAAUUUUGUUGUAGAUAGUAUAAAGAAUUUUGUAUUAAAAUUUCAUUUGAUUUGAAUACUUCUACACCGUUAAACUUGAAAACGACAAAUAUCAAACCAUUAAAAAUUAUUGAUUUUGAAUCUUUUCGAUCACUAAGUAAAUAAUAUCAAAAAAUAGCAAAAAUUAUUUUCUAAAAACUUUAAAUAUCCUAGAUCAAGUCUAGCAGAGCCGAUCGUCGAUUCGAAAAUUCCAUCAUCGAAAACAGCUCAGGAGCACGGAAGCCUCCGUAUUCCUGAGAGCACAGCAGCUCUGCUAUAUAUAUAUAUAGUAGAGCUACUAUACUAACGAAAGUAUAAAGUAGUUGGUCCUUUCGAUUUGUUAUCCUUUGGAUCAAAGACUCUACGGUUGGGAUGAUAACUGUCCUCUAAGGGUUGAGUGGUCCCUAGGGUUGAGUGGUCCCUAUUGGUUAAUAAUAUUAAUCCAAUAAUUAGAUAUGAUCAAUGGGAUUAAUUUAAGAACUGAAAAAUCAAAAGCACCAACUAUUUUAUGCUUCCAAUAGCAUAGUAGCUCUACUCUCUCUCUCUCUCUCUCUCUCUCUCUCUAUAUAUAUAUAGAUGAAAGAACCAUCUUCAUCUCCUAUCCGUCACCUCUAUUAUCUCUAAUUUUUUUUAUCAAAUUAUAUUAUUUGUUCCAAAAUAUAGUUAAAAUUUAUUUUUAUUUAAUAAUUUGUUAUUUAUAUUAUAAAGAGUUUGUAAGUAUUAUAUAUGUUAAAUUUUAAAAGGUUAGUAAUCUCACUCUCUUUUUAUAAAAAGUGUUCAUAUAUUAAAAUUUUCAAUUAACCAAAUAAGUAAAAUAAAAAAAAAAACUAUUUUUUAAUUUUUUGUCUUACCAACCAAAGACGUAUACAUGAAAAAUUAAUUUUCUUUUCCACCGAACCAAACAACAAAAACUAAAAAAAUUUUCCACAAAAUUUUUUUCUCCAAAAAAGUAGUUUUCUACAUCUGAUUACCCAAGAGAUGACAAUUUUAAAAGCUGAAAAGAAAAUUAUUUUUAAAUUUUUAGUUUUCAUUGUCGAAUAAACACAUUGAAUAAAAAAAUUACAAGUAAUUUUCUAUCCACUUCUAAACUUUUUAUAUACCAAUAAAAAAGAAAAAACAAACACAAUGCCAAUCAAGGACUUAAUUUAAUACUUUUAUUUUGUAAUUCUCUAAUUCCUAAUGUUAUUAUUUUAAAUUCAAAUUAUAAAUUUAACUUUUAGUAAUGUUUUGUUUUUUUUUUUGGCUUUGUUUCUUCCAAAUAAAAUACAAUUUAUAGCUGCAAUCCAAAGUGCAAAAAGAAAAGCCCUCUAAAAUCCUGUUUUCACCCAGAAAUUCUCAACAAAUCCAGCUUGCCACUUAUUAUUAAUUAAACAUUGAUCGAAGCCGAUUUUAAUAAGAUACAAUAACAGCAUUUUUUUAUUUUUUUUUUCUGUGAGAAAGAUACAAUAACAGCUAUUGACCUCUGCAUGUAUAUAUAAUAGUAAUAAUAAAAAUAAUAAUAAUAGUAANAAUGAUGGAGCCCUCAAAUCGACGAUCGGCACCGUUGAACAUGAUCUAUAUCAUUUGAAGUAUCUAGAAAUUAAAUUUCAAAUAUUUUCGAUAUCAUUGACCUAAUGAUCAAAGGGUUUCAAAAUUUGUAAUUUUAAUGGUCGAUGUGAGGUGUUUUCUCGUUAACGGUAUAAAGCUAUCCAAAUCAAUUGAAUUUUGGUUAGAAAAUUUUUUAAACUAUUUAGAACAUGAUCUACACUCUCGAUCUUGAUUACAAAAUUUUUAUCAUCACUUUUUAGAGGAUAUUUAUUUUCAGCCGUUCAUUUUUACGCCCACUUGAUGAACGAGAGAACAAUAUCGUAAAAACAUGAAAUUUGAUUUCUGGAU